Molecule: non-coding RNA, 1410 nt
Organism: Microcebus murinus (gray mouse lemur)
Lineage: Eukaryota; Metazoa; Chordata; Mammalia; Primates; Cheirogaleidae
Source: RefSeq, a predicted model, not a curated record
CGCGGGAAGGGGGCGUGAGCGGUGCCGGGCCAAAGCGCUUUGGGACGCUGGAAAGCAGUGCUUUCGGAUGUCAGAGUGUUCCCAUUUAGCUGGCUAUGGGAAAGGAAGCCACCCCGAGCAAUAUCACUAGCAGAUCUGAGAAACAUAUGCAGAAGUUUCAGCUUCCUGACUCGUGUGGUGAAAGCCAGUGGGUACAGAGCUAUUAGAAGGAAUUCCUUAGUAAAAAAGAAGAGAAGCUAAGCUGAGAAAGAUGAGCUGAGCUGAUUUGCACAAGGUAACCCGAUUACCACGUGGUAGAGCUAGAAUGUGAGGCUAGUGCAAGUGUUAAAGGAAGAUCCUGAAUUCAGCUUUCCCUUUUAAUGCUAAGGCCCGAGAUGCAAAUGGCAGAUUGUUGACACAUGGAAAAUAGUUGAACCAUCUGAAAGAAAUCUGAAGCUAAGCUUAUAACAACACUCUCCACCAUCCCUAACCUCAAGGUGGAUAUGGAAACUCUUCUAUACAGAAAUUGUAACAACCUCAGAGUGACUGGCGUCUUUGUGAGAGAAAGGAAUGGAGAUUUACACACAGGGAUACAAGAAAAGAGGAAAGAAGGCCAUGUGAAGAUAGAGGCAGAGGUUGGAAUUAUGAUGCUACAGACCCAGGAAUGCCAAGGAUUGCCAGCAACCACCAGAACCUAGAAGGGACAAAAAUGGAUUUCUUCCCUGGAGCCUUUGGAGAAAGCAUGGCCCUGCCAAUACCUUGAUUUCAGACGUCUAGGAACCACAACAGUCAAAUACUACCCAAAGGAAGCCAAUCAGUAAGUUCACCCUGGUCUACCACAGAGGUGGCUUUGUGCAAAUGCAGAGUCCUACUGGGAUAGCUUGUAGUGGAUGGUGAUGGACUAAAUCAACUAAAUCCACUUCUGAGAAAUGCAAACUUGAACUUGUGAAGAGAGCCAGCAGUUGGACAGAGGUAAAAGGUACACAGACCUGAAUCCAUAAGCAGACGCUUGAGGUAGAGAGAGUAUUAGGAAGUUGAUUCUUUGUUGGCAGCAGGGGCAGAAAUGAAGACAGUUCUGUUUAGUACCAGGCCUCAUACCAGUGCUGUAUGUGAGUAUCUCGUUUAAUCUUCACAAUAGUCCACUGAAAUAGUUAAUAUUGCUAUCCCCAUUUUACAUAUGAGGACACUCAGGGUUAGGGAAUUGAGUAACUUGUUAAAGACCCUGAAGUUGGAAGCAGCUGAAUUGGGACUCCCUUGUAGAGCAGUCUAGAAGCAGAGGCAGAACAGCUGAAUCAGCACAAGGAACAGCUGCAACUGAGGUGCAGCUAGAGUCCCUAGGCCACGACAGCUGUGUCUCAAGCCAUCUUCCAGGAUUGUUCUGCUGGGAGACCCAGUUGUGACUUUACCAUCACUGGCUGUGUAUCAUUGUAA